UUGGAGGGCAAGUCUGGUGCCAGCAGCCGCGGUAAUUCCAGCUCCAAUAGCGUAUAUUAAAGUUGUUGCAGUUAAAAAGCUCGUAGUUGAAUUUCGGGAUUGACGUGAUGGUCAUGCCUUAAGGGGUAUGAACUGUUGCUGUUGAUUUCUCACCUUCUGGAGAAACUUGAUGUCCUUAAUUGGGUGUCUUGCGGAUCCAGGACCUUUACCUUGAAAAAAUUAGAGUGUUUAAAGCAGGCAUUUUUGCUCGAAUACAUUAGCAUGGAAUAAUAGAAUAGGACGGCAUGGUUCUAUUUUGUUGGUUUCUAGGAUCACCGUAAUGAUUAAUAGGGAUAGUUGGG
This 341-nucleotide ribosomal RNA is filed under the name Entrophospora sp. Its description in RNAcentral is "SSU rRNA". It matches the Rfam family "Eukaryotic small subunit ribosomal RNA", at positions 548 to 886 of the family's 1831-position model. Lineage: Eukaryota; Fungi; Glomeromycota; Glomeromycetes; Entrophosporales; Entrophosporaceae. The record is from RNAcentral.